CCAUACUUAGCCAGCAAUAGGUGUGAGUGCGAGUUGACCCAGCUUGAUUAGAACUCGUCUAAUCGAUUUAAGUCCAAACUGCGCGAACCCGAACUUAACAAUUAGAAUCCUUUCUAAUUGGUGAUCGAAUUAAACUCUUUAAUUUGAUCAAACCUAUAAGACAAGAUUGACGUCUAGCAACGUGUCAUGUCUACCCGGAAAAUAUGAAAUUUGGUGGAAAUACCAAAAAUACCCUUCAGUGGCAAGUUACUGUGCAAUUCAAUCCUUUAAUCAAACUGCAUC
RNAcentral lists this long non-coding RNA (282 nucleotides) under Phoenix dactylifera (date palm). RNAcentral describes it as "long non-coding RNA (PDAC_LNC020258)". Lineage: Eukaryota; Viridiplantae; Streptophyta; Magnoliopsida; Arecales; Arecaceae. The record is from RNAcentral.